RNAcentral lists this ribosomal RNA (397 nucleotides) under uncultured bacterium. Its description in RNAcentral is "partial 16S ribosomal RNA". It matches the Rfam family "Bacterial small subunit ribosomal RNA", at positions 523 to 918 of the family's 1533-position model. The record is from RNAcentral.
AUACGUAGGGUGCGAGCGUUGUCCGGAAUUACUGGGCGUAAAGAGCUCGUAGGUGGUUUGUCGCGUCGUCUGUGAAAUUCCGGGGCUUAACUCCGGGCGUGCAGGCGAUACGGGCAAACUUGAGUACUGUAGGGGAGACUGGAAUUCCUGGUGUAGCGGUGAAAUGCGCAGAUAUCAGGAGGAACACCGGUGGCGAAGGCGGGUCUCUGGGGAGUAACGGACGCGGAGGAGCGAAAGCAUGGGUAGCGAACAGGAUUAGAUACCCUGGUAGUCCAUGCCGUAAACGGUGGGCGCUAGGUGUAGGGGUCUUCCACGACUUCUGUGCCGUAGCUAACGCAUUAAGCGCCCCGCCUGGGGAGUACGGCCGCAAGGCUAAAACGCAAAGGAAUUGACGGGG